RNAcentral lists this ribosomal RNA (111 nucleotides) under Triticum aestivum (bread wheat). RNAcentral's name for it is "partial small subunit ribosomal RNA". The record is from RNAcentral. Lineage: Eukaryota; Viridiplantae; Streptophyta; Magnoliopsida; Poales; Poaceae.
AUGACGGAUUUAAACUUACCUUCUAUUUUCAUGCCUUUAGUAGGCUUAGUAUUUCCGGCAAUUGCAAUGACUUCUUUAUUUCUUUAUGUGCAAAAAAAUAAGAUUGUCUAG